Molecule: small RNA, 28 nt
Filed under: Bombyx mori (domestic silkworm)
Lineage: Eukaryota; Metazoa; Arthropoda; Insecta; Lepidoptera; Bombycidae
Description: ovarian small RNA-11283
Source: RNAcentral
ACCCUAAAGAAAACCUCCUACAAGGAAG